Molecule: ribosomal RNA, 464 nt
Filed under: uncultured bacterium
Lineage: Bacteria
Description: partial 16S ribosomal RNA
Rfam family: Bacterial small subunit ribosomal RNA
Source: RNAcentral
GACGAACGCUGGCGGCGUGCUUAACACAUGCAAGUCGAACGGAAAGGCCCCUUUGGGGGUCCUCGAGUGGCGCACGGGUGAGUAACACGUGAGUAACCUGCCCUUGACUUCGGGAUAACUUCAGGAAACUGGGGCUAAUACCGGAUAGGAAUCCUUGCUGCAUGGUGGGGGUUGGAAAGCUUCGGCGGUUUUGGAUGGACUCGCGGCUUAUCAGCUUGUUGGUGGGGUAGUGGCUUACCAAGGCUUUGACGGGUAGCCGGCCUGAGAGGGCGACCGGCCACAUUGGGACUGAGAUACGGCCCAGACUCCUACGGGAGGCAGCAGUGGGGAAUAUUGCACAAUGGGCGGAAGCCUGAUGCAGCAACGCCGCGUGCGGGAUGACGGCCUUCGGGUUGUAAACCGCUUUCAGCAGGGGCGAAGCUUGUGGUGACGGUACCUGCAGAAGAAGCACCGGCUAACUACGU